CAGAAAAGCGCCGGCUAACUACGUGCCAGCAGCCGCGGUAAUACGUAGGGCGCAAGCGUUAUCCGGAAUUAUUUGGCGUAAAGAGCUCGUAGGCGGUCUGUCGCGUCUGCUGUGAAAACCCGAGGCUCAACCUCGGGCCUGCAGUGGGUACGGGCAGACUAGAGUGCGGUAGGGGAGAUUGGAAUUCCUGGUGUAGCGGUGGAAUGCGCAGAUAUCAGGAGGAACACCGAUGGCGAAGGCAGAUCUCUGGGCCGUAACUGACGCUGAGGAGCGAAAGGGUGGGGAGCAAACAGGCUUAGAUACCCUGGUAGUCCACCCCGUAAACGUUGGGAACUAGUUGUGGGGUCCAUUCCACGGAUUCCGUGACGCAGCUAACGCAUUAAGUUCCCCGCCUGGGGAGUACGGCCGCAAGGCUAAAACUCAAAGGAAUUGACGGGGACCCGCACAAGCGGCGGAGCAUGCGGAUUAAUUCGAUGCAACGCGAAGAACCUUACCAAGGCUUGACAUAUAGAGGAAACGUCUGGAAACAGUCGCCCCGCAAGGUCUCUAUACAGGUGGUGCAUGGUUGUCGUCAGCUCGUGUCGUGAGAUGUUGGGUUAAGUCCCGCAACGAGCGCAACCCUCGUUCUAUGUUGCCAGCACGUAAUGGUGGGAACUCAUGGGAUACUGCCGGGGUCAACUCGGAGGAAGGUGGGGAUGACGUCAAAUCAUCAUGCCCCUUAUGUCUUGGGCUUCACGCAUGCUACAAUGGCCGGUACAAAGGGCUGCAAUACCGUGAGGUGGAGCGAAUCCCAAAAAGCCGGUCCCAGUUCGGAUUGAGGUCUGCAACUCGACCUCAUGAAGUCGGAGUCGCUAGUAAUCGCAGAUCAGCAACGCUGCGGUGAAUACGUUCCCGGGUCUUGUACACACCGCCCGUCAAGUCAUGAAAGUCGGUAACACCUGAAGCCGGUGGCCCAACCCU
RNAcentral lists this ribosomal RNA (960 nucleotides) under Microbacterium arborescens. RNAcentral's name for it is "bacterial SSU rRNA". It matches the Rfam family "Bacterial small subunit ribosomal RNA", at positions 483 to 1442 of the family's 1533-position model. Lineage: Bacteria; Bacillati; Actinomycetota; Actinomycetes; Micrococcales; Microbacteriaceae. The record is from RNAcentral.